UUGGAUUUCUGUUGAGGAUGACCGGUCCGCUCUUUGAGCGCGUAUCUGGUUCAGCCUUGGCAUCCUCUUGGGGAACGCUACUGUGCUUGAUUGCAUGGGGCGGUAUUCAAGACUUUUACUCUGAGGAAAUUAGAGUGUUCACUGCAAGCGUUAGCAAUUGAAUACAUUAGCAUGGAAUAAUAAUAUAGGACCUUGGUACUAUUUUGUUGGUUUCUAGAACUAAGGUAAUGAUUAAUAGGGA
This 241-nucleotide ribosomal RNA is filed under the name uncultured marine eukaryote. Its description in RNAcentral is "partial 18S ribosomal RNA". It matches the Rfam family "Eukaryotic small subunit ribosomal RNA", at positions 634 to 878 of the family's 1831-position model. The record is from RNAcentral.